RNAcentral lists this ribosomal RNA (253 nucleotides) under uncultured bacterium. RNAcentral describes it as "partial 16S ribosomal RNA". It matches the Rfam family "Bacterial small subunit ribosomal RNA", at positions 524 to 776 of the family's 1533-position model. The record is from RNAcentral.
UACGGAGGGUGCAAGCGUUAUCCGGAUUCACUGGGUUUAAAGGGUGCGUAGGCGGAUAGUUAAGUCCGUGGUGAAAUCCUGCAGCUUAACUGCAGAACUGCCAUGGAUACUAUUUAUCUUGAAUGUCGUGGAGGUUAGCAGAAUAUGUCAUGUAGCGGUGAAAUGCUUAGAUAUGACAUAGAAUACCCAUUGCGAAGGCAGCUAACUACGCGAUAAUUGACGCUGAUGCACGAAAGCGUGGGGAUCAAACAGG